CCACGGACGAUGACAUUAGCUGCAGAAUAAGCACCGGCUAACUCUGUGCCAGCAGCCGCGGUAAUACAGAGGGUGCAAGCGUUAAUCGGAAUUACUGGGCGUAAAGCGAGCGUAGGUGGCUUGAUAAGUCAGAUGUGAAAUCCCCGGGCUUAACCUGGGAACUGCAUCUGAUACUGUUAAGCUAGAGUAGGUGAGAGGGAAGUAGAAUUUCAGGUGUAGCGGUGAAAUGCGUAGAGAUCUGAAGGAAUACCGAUGGCGAAGGCAGCUUCCUGGCAUCAUACUGACACUGAGGCUCGAAAGCGUGGGUAGCAAACAGGAUUAGAUACCCUGGUAGUCCACGCCGUAAACGAUGUCUACUAGUCGUUGGGUCCCUUGAGGACUUAGUGACGCAGCUAACGCAAUAAGUAGACCGCCUGGGGAGUACGGCCGCAAGGUUAAAACUCAAAUGAAUUGACGGGGGCCCGCACAAGCGGUGGAGCAUGUGGUUUAAUUCGAUGCAACGCGAAGAACCUUACCUGGUCUUGACAUAUCUAGAAUCCUGCAGAGAUGCGGGAGUGCCUUCGGGAAUUAGAAUACAGGUGCUGCAUGGCUGUCGUCAGCUCGUGUCGUGAGAUGUUGGGUUAAGUCCCGCAACGAGCGCAACCCUUGUCCUUAGUUACCAGCGGGUUAAGCCGGGAACUCUAAGGAUACUGCCAGUGACAAACUGGAGGAAGGCGGGGACGACGUCAAGUCAUCAUGGCCCUUACGACCAGGGCUACACACGUGCUACAAUGGUAGGUACAGAGGGCAG
This 790-nucleotide ribosomal RNA is filed under the name Psychrobacter sp. RNAcentral's name for it is "bacterial SSU rRNA". It matches the Rfam family "Bacterial small subunit ribosomal RNA", at positions 460 to 1249 of the family's 1533-position model. The record is from RNAcentral. Lineage: Bacteria; Pseudomonadati; Pseudomonadota; Gammaproteobacteria; Moraxellales; Moraxellaceae.